GACGAAGGUGGCGAGCGUUGUUCGGAAUCACUGGGCAUAAAGCGCACGUAGGCGGCGACGUAAGUUGGGUGUGAAAUCCCUCGGCCCAACCGAGGAACUGCGCCCAGUACUGCGUUGCUUGAGGAUCCAAGGGGUGCAUGGAAUUCCCGGUGGAGCGGUGAAAUGCGUUGAUAUCGGGAGGAACUCCGGCGGCGAAGGCGGCCUUCUGGACCAAUACUGACGCUCAUGCACGAAAGCGUGGGGAGCAAACAGG
This 253-nucleotide ribosomal RNA is filed under the name uncultured bacterium. RNAcentral's name for it is "partial 16S ribosomal RNA". It matches the Rfam family "Bacterial small subunit ribosomal RNA", at positions 524 to 776 of the family's 1533-position model. The record is from RNAcentral.